AGCAGGUUAACCUCUCCCUCCCCGCUGCAUCUGGGCUUGUUCUCAUUUGCUGCAGGCUAGGAUUGUGCUACUCCACCAUUAUUGCUGUUCUUUCUGUCAUAUUAUAGCAUUCUAGCACUUUUUUUUUUUUUUUUUGCCAAGGUUAUUAAACAAAGUUAUAACAUUACAAAGCAAACAGCAAUAGAAGUACAACAUACACUGACUCCAAAGACAAAAGAGACCACUGUAUCCAUCUUGCCUGACCUCUUCCUCCUGUUAUAUUUAGAGUUAUUUGUAUAACAUUUUCAUGAGCGUCUCAUUGAAACUCAAUCUUGGUAUCACUUAUUGGUGUUAAGAGAUCAUCUUUUUUUUUUUUUUUUUUAAGAUAAUGCUAAACAUUUAAAAUACUUGAAGGACAGCAGGGACACUACAGAGAUCUUUGAUAAAUAACUUACAUCUGUUCUUUUAUGCUUUUAUUCUUUAUCUAUCAUAGAGAGUAAAGGAUGUAUUAAAGAAAGUUCCAGAUUUAUUAAACUGAGGGAAAUUGCUUGUUUAAAAAAAAAAAAAAAAAACAGGAAAGAAUUCAACAAGAUAAAGCACGUAGGGACAAAAUGAGAAGAUGAGUUAGAAUUUAUAGAAUAGAACUCAAUCAAAACCAAAAAGUUCUUCUAAUUCACAGGGGGAAAGAAUAAUCCAAGAUGUUCACAAUCAGAUAAACCUGCAAAGAAAUGACACCUAAAGAAUGUUAGGGGACUGUUCUUGCAGUGCGGGGUAGCAAAAUAAAGUAUCCAGAGCAGCAUUUAAUGGAACUGGAAUAUGUAGGUAUAAUCUUCUCACAGUCACACAUGGAGUAGUCUAUUCAUUUCUGUAUCAAAUAAAGAAGGAUCUGAUAAAUUCAGAGCAGCAAACAUUCUCAUCAAGGUCUGUAGGAAAACACUUGGACACAGGGUCACCCCGACAGUCGGCAAAGGGAAAAGACAAACCCCCGCCCGCCUGCGUGGGAAGCAGCAACUCAGUAUGAGUUCAAACAGCUCCAUUCUAUUAGGGCAGCAGCCCUCUCUUAUAUAGCACACUUGUUUACAAGACAGGUGCCCCACACAUAUCAAAACAAGAUAGGUGUCCCACAAACAUCAAAGUGUCUCACAAGAAAGUGUCUCACAACGAUAUCAUUUCCCAGGCUAUUUUAGAGCACAGCACCUACUGUUAAUUAAAGCACUACAAGCAGUAAAUUCCACACAGACACAGCUUACUUCUUAUCUAAGGUCAUACCGUAAAUCUUUGAGAAAAGUCAGCUACGCGCUACCAGGCAUGUAAUGUUUCCCAACAAAGGUCGAAAGUAAGUUUGACUUACAAGGAUGAAUGAAAAGACUUAAAAACCUGUAAUUAGAUGAAGAGAUGAGUACAGCCUGGAAAGAAUGGGAGAGUCUUGAAGUAUAUAAAACUUAAGUAUUGUAGAUAAAGGGAUAUAGCUAGCAAACUAAAACCAAGUUAAAUAAAGCAUUAUAGGUGAAAUUAAGAAAGAAUGAGUUUGGAGUGGGUGAACAGUUCCUUUCCUUCCACAAAUUCUGUCGGUUUAUGUGGUGAUCUUUCAGGAGGCAUAGUGAAAGAAACUUUACUUGGCCCAUUCAACAGCUGAGGAAAAAAUGUGUGAGAGAAGGUAGCCCAAUAUGCAGGUUUGACUGCAUUGCUAGCAGUGACCACUGCAGGCUGCUUCUCACUCACUGGGAGGACCUCUCAGGCAGGAAUUGACAUUCAUCCCACUGGACAUUGGCCUUCGCCAUCCUCUGUUCAGGUGAGCAUCCACAUUUCUUGGUCAUAUAAUAGGUCUGUGCUGGGAGAACCAUGGCACUGCACACAUGGGACCUCUGUGUGAUAAGGGGUGGUCUGCAUGCUGGUCAGGCUGCUCACAUCUCUUGGGUUAACUGCUUAAAUCCACCAGGGCACGUAACCUUAUGAAAAAUCAACUCCCUCCCAGCACAGUAUCCAAGUAACAGUAAAAUCCAAACAUCUUCUUUGCCAUUUUUGGCAGGGGUCAGUGAAAUUGUAGAGAAGAUACUGUUCUGACCAGUGUGGAACAUGUGUUUUGCAAAACUAACUGUGCCCAAGUCAGACUGCCUAGCAGAUGAUUUAAUAGGUUUUCUAAGUGUGGCAAGUGCAAGGCUGCUAGUGAGACUCAACAUCAGUUAGGAACAAGCAGCUAUGACUGGCCGCUCCAAGAGUGGCCCUACAGGUGUCUUGCAAGUGGCCUUCCACAGGCUUGUCAUUGUUGGCCUCCCCUGCUAGCUGCACAAGCUCCAAACUGGAGCAGGCUAGGAACUUGACACAAUCUGGCUGGUUAAAGGUGUCCCUCUUAACUUCCUAGGCAGCCCAAGCUUCUGCUGUGCACUUCACAGGCCCUGUAGCAAUCACAAUGCUGUUAACGUUGCAGUCAGCAUCCAUGGAAAGAGGGGAAAAAUGCUUCCCCCGUGCAUUUGUUGGGUUUUGAAUUGGCCACGUGAUAUUUAGUGGAGCAAAAGUAAAAGUGAUCACUGUAGAUCUGUCUAGGGAUCAGGGAAUGUGUUCUGUUUGCUUUUAGAUACUUUUUGAGUGGUCCUGUGAUGGAGCUGAUGAUCCUUGUGGGUCCCUUCCAACGCAGGAUAUUCUGUAAUUCCAAUUAGAAUUACAAAUUUAAGAAGCUAAGAGUAACACUACAACUCAGUAACCCGGCAGUGCUAAAACUGGGAAGUGCUGGUUAAACUUCUUGGCAUUCAUGUCUUGAUGAGCAGUUAAGCAGCACAGCAUAACGAGUGAGUUUCUGGGAGGUAAUGCCUGCUCUGCCCACUUCUCUGACUUAAGGGGAUACUUUCCCUCAAAUUCUGGGCCAGCAUUUCAACACCAGCACUGUAAUAAAGGAGUGUCUGCUCAUUAGCACAGACAACCCUGACUCAUGUACAAUGUGCUCUACCACACAGUUUGUUUUCCUGAAAGAACUUCUCUGUUGUUAUUGCCAAGGAUGCUGUGUUAUUCAUUAAAACUCUUAUUAGCAUGCUGCUGGCUUUCAUUGUCUAACAGCAUCCACUGUGUUAAUGAUCAUACAGUGUAAUGUUGAAUAUUCACUGUGGGAAAUAAUGUGCAUAAUACACACAGAAGGACAAUUGAAUGGACAGUUUAAUCUGCUAGUUUAUUCCUCCACUGCUAUUUAAAAGUCAAUAUUGUUGAGGGGAAAAUGCCAAGAUAUCAUCUUAUGAGGAAUCUUGCCUUUUGAGAUUUAAAGGAGCAAUGAAAAGUAAAGAGAGCAUUAAAAGUAAAGCAGUACUUACAUUAAACUCUUCCAGAUCCAAUUAGUCACACUGUUUCCAGGUGGAUAUAUGUUUCAGGCAAUACGUUUUAACAGUAGCACUGAACAUCUUUCAGCUUCAUUUAAUGGGUGAAAUAAAAUGCAGUGACCUUUCAACAUUUUUUUUUUCUAUAUAAGCCUGAAUCAGAAUCCCAAACCUAAACAUUUUUAGAUGCUGGGACAUUUGGAUCUGAUAGACAGAUUAGCUAGGUAGAUAGGGGUAAGUUUAGGUGUUUGUGGAGGAGGAAAUAGAAGUCUUGUAGUGUGUUGCAGUGUGUGUAAUCAUAAUAUCUGGAUGGAAAGAACAUGCAUUUGAAAAGGAGAGAAUGACUAACUGAGGCAGGGAACAAUGAAGAAGAAAUGCAUUGCAAAGCAAUGACGUUUUCCAGGUAUUGGAAAAGGCACGGGGUUGGGGAACACAAGCCACCUGAGCUUCUGCUAGGUGCUGGUAUUCUGCUAAAGCAGUAUCACAGGAGGGAAGCACCAGGUGAAAUACAGCCCAGCUGAAUACAGCAGGGCCCACAGAGGGGGUGGCUUCCAUAGCAAGUUUGCUGCAUGGUGAGAAGCUAAAAAGCAACAGCCAUGGCUGGACUGGUGCUUGAAAAGUCAGCUUAUUCAGUAAGGGAAAGAGAAGGGACAUUUCACCUCAAACCCUUUACAAUUCUGCCUUUGCAAAUAGGUACCAUGAGCACAUCUGUGCAAACAGCUACAUUAAUGACAUGAUUAACACUACGUUGAUUACAUAGAGGAGAAGUUAUCAUAGGGGUAUUGUCUGAAUCCAGAUGUAUCACCCUGGGAGUACCCCCUUUCUCUUCUUGGCUUUAUGCUACCAGGGAGAAGCUGGAAGCAGAACCUAAAAAGCAAGCAAAUAAAAGUGAUUACCGGAGAGCGUGUUCUACCAAAGCCACGGAAGGCUGAAGUGUGUGACUGUGACAUCAAAAGAGUGAAAGCGGAAAGGGGAGCAGAUUUAAGAAAGGAAAAUGCUGCUGCACAACAGCGGAUGGGAGAGAUCAGCACAUGUGAGAGAAACAACACCAGAGCCACCGAAGUCAGUACAGAAGCAGGGUAGGGGGUGUUCCAGGCGCACAGCAGAAGUUCCCUGUAGCCCAGGAGAGGCCCAGGAGAGGCCCAUGGUGGAGCAGGAUGUCCCCCUGCUGCCUGUGGGCACCACACAUAGCGUAUCUAUGCAUGCAGCCAUGGAGGAGCCCACGGUGCAGCAGGUGGAUGUGGCCUGCAGGAAGCUGCAGCCCAUGGAGAAGCCCCCACAGGAGCAGACUUUGGGCCAGAACUGCAACCUAUGGUGAAGUGCCCCUAGUGGAGGAAAUGGUCUGGAGGAGCUGCUGCCCAUGGGGCCUUGUGCUGGAGCUGAAAAAUGGACCUGUGGUACAGAUCCAUGUUGGAGCAGUUCUUGAAGAGCUGUAGCCUGUGGGAAGCCCAUGCAGACUCCGUUCAGGAAGGAUGGCAUCACUUGGAAGGGACUCCAUGUGGAGCGGGAGAAGACAGUGACCAUGGAGGAGUGGCAGAGACAAAACAUUAUGGACUGACUGCAGCCCCCAUUCCUCCUGUGCAACUUGGGGGGAGAACGUAGAGGACUGAUUGUAGAAAGAUGUUUUUAGUUUGCUUCUAGUUGUCACUGCUCUAAUCUUUUAUCAGUAAGCAAUAAAAUACAUUAAUCUCA
Numida meleagris (helmeted guineafowl) is the source of this 4973-nucleotide long non-coding RNA. RefSeq lists it as uncharacterized. The transcript is spliced from 2 exons. Lineage: Eukaryota; Metazoa; Chordata; Aves; Galliformes; Numididae. The record is from RefSeq and is a predicted model, not a curated record.